AAUGUGAUCACUGGAUAUUUGUAAUUUACAGUGAUACAGGAAUAUGUCUACGGAGAGUAUUAUGAAUAUAAAAUGUUAAAAACAUUGUUAUUAUUUGAUUUUAACACAGUAUGAUUAUUAUGAUUAUAUGUCUAUCAUUACUGCUAUUAUGAUGAUGAUGAUGAUGAUGAUGAAGUGUAAAAUGAGCCGCUGUGUUCUUUUGUAUGUGUGAAUAUUCAAUAAAUAGGUGUCAACGAAG
Molecule: long non-coding RNA, 238 nt
Organism: Notothenia coriiceps (black rockcod)
Lineage: Eukaryota; Metazoa; Chordata; Actinopteri; Perciformes; Nototheniidae
Exons: 2
Source: RefSeq, a predicted model, not a curated record